This is a non-coding RNA of Schizosaccharomyces pombe (fission yeast), 577 nucleotides long. The record is from the annotation of a GenBank genome assembly. Lineage: Eukaryota; Fungi; Ascomycota; Schizosaccharomycetes; Schizosaccharomycetales; Schizosaccharomycetaceae.
UUUUUUCUUUUAAUAUCGUGUUCCAUUAUAACCCGAAUCAGAAGAUCCAUCGUCAUGAUACUCUUCGUCGCUAGCCUCUCGACUUUUGGAAAUGUUGUCAUCCUGAGUUUGUUUUCUUUGCUCUUCUUCUCGUUGAGCUUGCAUAAACAAUCUUGCUUCAUCAUCGGGAAUAGGUUCAUCUUGGCAUUUGGCCGCAUAAUCAUUUCGUAUUUGCUCGGCUCUCAUUUCAUAUUCUUUAGUUAGGCGCUGAUAACGAAGAAUUUUUCCAGCAUAAGCUUCUCUUUGUGCUGCAAUUUCAUCAAUCCAAGGUUUUUUACCUAAAUCAUCAAGCUGGCGCCAAGUUUUCCCUAGUUUGGCACGUGUUUCAUUAAUAGUAGCCUUCGCUGUACUAUCUCCUGUUAACCUUCGCUUGUCUUCAUCAGCAAGUGCACGGCAUACAUGCCACUGCAUUUUUUGGUAAAGUAAAAAGGGAUUUGCAUUCGGCUUGGAAGGAGGUUCAGGUAAAUAACCAAGAAGUUCAGUUACAAGCUGUUCCUGUUCUUCCUUAUGCUCGUCAAGUCUUUCCUGCUUUUUCAAC